Molecule: long non-coding RNA, 3422 nt
Organism: Leopardus geoffroyi (Geoffroy's cat)
Lineage: Eukaryota; Metazoa; Chordata; Mammalia; Carnivora; Felidae
Exons: 2
Source: RefSeq, a predicted model, not a curated record
UACAAGAAAAAAAAAAUUGCAACCCUCAAUUUAGAAAAACUUUCAGAAGUAGUUGGGCCUGCUUCCUGAGUCCCUUUAAAAGCAAAACAUCUCUAGAAUAUAUUUGGUACAGUCUUGCAUGGAGGUGAAAGGAUGGAGAAAAUAGCCCUGGAGGGCCCGAACAGCCCCAUAGGAAGCCAAAAAAGACACAAGAUGCCUGGUACCCAGUGCCUCACAUGACAAGACAUCCUACUUACAGAAGGGCAAUCUUUGCACCACCUUUGGGAAGCCAGGUUGACAUGGCCGGUGCAACCACAAAGCCUCCCCCUGUGGCCACACGCAGAGCCUGAAGCCUCACGUAGGUAAGGCCUGCUUCCGGAAAGCAAGCGGUCAUCUGCACCACCCCAAUCAGCUAGGGGCAGAAGCUGUCCGUCAGCAGGAUUCCAUGCAGCAGAUACCACUGGCCUACAAGCUCCAGAGCUUUCGACGUGCAGGAUACGCACAUGUAAGUGCACACAGAGGGGCCCCAGGCAGCGGCAUGGACGGGGAUCCAGGAAGUUGACCUGAAAGCUACCCACCUUCUAUUUCGCUCCUGUUCCAGGCAACCUACUCCUAGUUAAGGCAACAGCACAAGGGGGCAAGUGCACGGAACCAGGACUCAGGAGACUGGGGUCCCGCCCCGACUCUGCUGCUAAUGCCUCAUACAGUCUCAGAAGAGUCAGUCAUGUCCUAUCUCAGGGCAUCAGCCUGUCCUCCUGUCAAAUGGACUAAUACUACCUGCUAUGCCUAACUCACAGAGCUCAGUCAUUCAGCAAGCAAUUAAUGAGCAUCUACUACUGGCAAGACAUUGACUCAGGACGCACCUGAGAUACAGUGGCAAACAAGACGGGCAAAAGCCCUUCCUCAUGGAGUGUACCCUGUAGGGUUGGGACAGAACCUAAUACGAAUGCAUGCAGGAAUGGGUUGAAAAACCAUGUUUGCCACACUUGCAGCAUGGAUGGAGAUAUCCUCCGCUCCGGGCCAAUUAUGGACCGGACUCACACACACAGCAGACCUGCUGGGAAUCAAUCACUGACCACAGGCAUUUGCAUGUAGUAACCCUACAAUCACAAGCAGCCCCAACACCAAGGAAGAAGACACUAUAAAUACACACACUCCACAAACAAGCAAGUUGGGGCCCAGAGAAGCGAAGCCGUUUUUUUUGUUUGGUUGGUUGGUUGGGGUUCUUUUUUUUUUUUGGUUUUUGUGUUUUGUUUUUUUCAGGAUAACACAACCAGUAGAAGGCAGAGACAGGAUUAAAAUGCAAGCAUUCUGAUGCUGAGGACGUACAUAUCUAAUAACCACUACGUCGUCUUGUUUGUACUGAGAAGGAAAUCAAGUGGCCACCCCUUUUGAUAGCUCCUAUGCGGGCUGGAGGUGUUGAACUUUCUAUGUUGAAUUCUCCCAUCAUGACCUAGAGGAGUGAGGCCAUGCUGCUCUAUGCCAGCAGGAGUGCCCCAGAAGGAGAAAAGGAAGCUUUCGUCUCCUAGACGAUGGACAUCCUCUGGGAGAGGACAGCUGCACCCAGGACACAGGCCUUCAACUGACAAGGAGUUGGUCCCUGCAUCUCCCAUUCUGGGCCACCUCCUGGCCAGGGAUCUCCAGAAGGGCAGAUAUCUAGUUGUGGGCUGCAGUGAGAGCAGUGAUCCCUGUGCAUGGAGGAGGCAGGCCCAGACUAGGACGCUGGCGGGGAUACGUUAUGCCCUGUAAGGCAAUCCCCUGGCUCUGUGACCCUCUGUUUAUUUCCCUAGUGUCAGCCCCAAGUUUUCCAUCAAGUCCCGUUUCAGUGUCCCAGGCCAGAUGUCCAGCAACACGAGGAAUUUAAGGAAAGGCUGAGAAGCCAUGUACCCAAGCUGGGGCCACUGGUGCCCCUUUAAAACUAGUAUCUUAUGAAAGUACUAACAGAUGAGAAAUUCCUCGAGAAAGGUAAAUAUUGGAGAAAGUCAGGAUGAGCUACCCUUUGGCCACGUGGAGUUUUGCUCCACUGCCGAUGUGGAGGAUGAAAGUCCUAGGUAACUUGGGCAAAUAAUAGCUCCCUUUUUGGAAGAGGGGGAUGCUAAGAGGGGCAGAGAAUGGAAGAGGAGGAAAAGGUGUGAGGUUCAGGGACUGUGCAAGGAUCACCACCCCCCCCCCCACCCAUCUAAGAGACUCUCCUGAGCCUUGAAAUAAUGCUCAUGUCUGGUGUGCUCACCACCAGGGCCACGGUGGAGCAGACUAGAAAGGAAAUGAAGGCAGAGACAGGGCCCCCUCUUGGGGGAGUCCUGGUACAUCCAGGUGGGAGGAUAGAGCAUCAAGGCAGAAGACUUCCCAGGCCAGAUGGGAGCAUGGUUCCUCAGAGGCUCCAUCUGAUACUGGUUCUGGCUGGAGCUGCCUCUCUCUCAACACCUGUAGUGUAGACCUGGGCCUGUCUGGUCCCGAGAGGUGCCAGCACCCAGAGCUAUCUUCAUUCUGCCGCUGGAAGCCAUGGGAAUUCCCUGGGGCCUGGGGCUCCCUCUGGGAUUUCACACUGCUCUCUCCUGCCUCGCUUUCUCUUUUAUCUCCUGGAUUAACAUAUCGCUGUGAUGUCGAUGUGGUCAGCCUGCCCGUCUGAGCUUUGUGACCUCAUGCAGAGCUGGAAGGGGCCAUGGAAAACAUUCCCAAGCAAGCAUCUCAGACCCGGGCAUGCCUCUCUCCCCCGGAAACCGGGCUGCGUCUAGGCAGAGGCAAGGCUGGGGACUGGUGAGGGCCGGGUGUGCGUCUUCUGAGCACAGUUGCAACAGGGGAGCAUUUGUAAGGUUCUAACAGGUGAUUCUUAUGGCCACGACCAGGAAGCACUGGCCUGGGCCACUCACUACAGACACCAGGAAGAGAAGCCCACCAGGGCCCUCUGCAUGAACACAAGCUUCUCAAAGCAAGCUGAGCAAUCUCCCCAGCAAUCCUCAGAGCCGGAUUUUGCACAACUGGAGGUGAGUGUGCUAUUUCUUUAACCCUCUGAAAGCCCAACAGAAAAACUGUCACAGGCACCCUGAGGACGUUUCCUGAGAACCAAGUCCUUUCUGAUGAGGUGAGGAAAACUCCACGGAAGAUUCCAAGCGAGUCUUUGCCUCCAUCUAACGAGCACACAUACUUUCCAAGGCCCUCCUGUUCCCGGAAACGUUGCCAUCUGCAAAGAUGGCAGGCCUUGACAGGCCCUAACUUCACGGUAAUGGCACAAAGCCCACAGAGUCAACCACCACGGUGCAUCCUCUUGGACCAGCAGUUCCUGGGGGACUUGGGGACAGUGAGAAACAAGGAAGAUGCAGGAAGUGUUGAUCACAAGGGGGGUUGAGUGGGGUCGGUGAUGACAUUUUACUAGCUCCCCACAUCCUGUGAAGGUGAUUUCUCUUCUGAGAAAAAACAUCCGCUAACAGGGACUUCAUCUUCAA